Molecule: non-coding RNA, 529 nt
Organism: Pocillopora verrucosa
Lineage: Eukaryota; Metazoa; Cnidaria; Anthozoa; Scleractinia; Pocilloporidae
Source: RefSeq, a predicted model, not a curated record
CGACCGAGAUGGAGAACAUUGCGGCCCAUAGAUGUUCCGAAAACUCUGUCGCUCUCUAUUACUCUAGGGGUUGUUUGUGUUAGAAGUCUGGAAAUUACCUGGGAAGGACAUGGAGAUUUCUACCAUGCAGCAUUCCCUUCAGUUAUGUUCCAGAUCUACAUAAAUGUAGGAUACUUUUACAAAUAUUUAUCAGUUGGACAGUUAUAGUAAAGUUCCUAAAUGACAAAUGCAGCUCACGGAAGGACGAACAAAGAAGAGUAAAGAUCUGUUAUUUGGUUUACAGACUUCAUCACACAACAGAUAGAUUUAAGUUAGAAUGGAACUUUUGGUACUUGUAUAUCUAAUUGUUUCAAUGUUUAUAGUAACAUAGAGAUCAUAGACUAGAUUCACAGGCUGUUAGACUCUUAAAAAUUGGCUGGAAAGCUGUUUACACACAAGACAUUGUUGACGCGAAUAAGUUCCGUUGUUUUGAGCUGCACUGGUCAGCCUUUCGGUAGUGCUUUCUUUGAUUUGUAAACCUUCAGAUAAU